Molecule: ribosomal RNA, 497 nt
Filed under: uncultured bacterium
Lineage: Bacteria
Description: partial 16S ribosomal RNA
Rfam family: Bacterial small subunit ribosomal RNA
Source: RNAcentral
GAUGAACGCUGGCGGCGUGCCUAAUACAUGCAAGUCGAGCGAACAGACGAGAAGCUUGCUUCUCUGAUGUUAGCGGCGGACGGGUGAGUAACACGUGGAUAACCUACCUAUAAGACUGGGAUAACUUCGGGAAACCGUAGCUAAUACCGGAUAAUAUAUUGAACCGCAUGGUUCAAUAGUGAAAGACGGUUUUGCUGUCACUUAUAGAUGGAUCCGCGCUGCAUUAGCUAGUUGGUAAGGUAACGGCUUACCAAGGCAACGAUGCGUAGCCGACCUGAGAGGGGGAUCGGCCACACUGGAACGGAGACACGGUCCAGACGCCUACGGGAGGCAGCAGUAGGGAAUCUUCCGCAAUGGGCGAAAGCUUGACGGAGCAACGCCGCGUGAGUGAUGAAGGUCUUCGGAUCGUAAAACUCUGUUAUUAGGGAAGAACAAAUGUGUAAGUAACUAUGCACAUCUUGACGGUACCUAAUCAGAAAGCCACGGCUAACUACGUG